UUACCCCUGCUGUUCACGUGAUGCUCCACGCGUCUUGAGCCAACAUUACCUUGAAGGGGAGCCAGAAGUAUUAGGGGGGAUGCGGUAGCCUGCGACACAGGCAAGGCAAAACCUUCUAAUCAGGCACCCACCUGCUAAUAGCAGGUUCAAGGACAAAUGGAUGGCACACGGUUCAGCGGGGGGAGC
RNAcentral lists this non-coding RNA (186 nucleotides) under Chloroflexota bacterium. RNAcentral describes it as "Chloroflexi bacterium 6S RNA". It matches the Rfam family "6S / SsrS RNA". From Rfam's summary of the family: E. coli 6S RNA was the first non coding RNA to be sequenced, but its function was unknown until recently. It consists of 184 nucleotides that fold into an extended hairpin structure with a large single-stranded internal bulge. The record is from RNAcentral. Lineage: Bacteria; Bacillati; Chloroflexota.